AACGAACGCUGGCGGCAUGCCUAACACAUGCAAGUCGAACGAGACCUUCGGGUCUAGUGGCGCACGGGUGCGUAACGCGUGGGAACCUGCCCUUAGGUUCGGCAUAACUCCCCGAAAGGGGUGCUAAUACCGGAUAAUGUCUUCGGCCCAAAGAUUUAUCGCCUUUGGAUGGGCACGCGUUGGAUUAGCUAGUUGGUAGGGUAAAAGCCUACCAAGGCGACGAUCCAUAGCUGGUCUGAGAGGAUGAUCAGCCACACUGGGACUGAGACACGGCCCAGACUCCUACGGGAUGCAGCAGUGGGGAAUAUUGGACAACGGGCGAAAGCCUGAUCCAGCAAUGCCGCGUGAGUGAUGAAGGCCUUAGGGUUGUAAAGCGCUUGUACCCGUGAUGAUAAUGACAGUACCUGGAGAAUAAGCUCCGGCUAACUCCGUG
Molecule: ribosomal RNA, 433 nt
Filed under: uncultured bacterium
Lineage: Bacteria
Description: partial 16S ribosomal RNA
Rfam family: Bacterial small subunit ribosomal RNA
Source: RNAcentral